UGGGGAUUGAGGAAGAAGAGCGGAAUGGAGGUGGGUUAAGCAUUUGGGAAUCAACGAGGCAGAGUAGGGAUUGCGAGGGGAAGAGACGGCGGCGAGAAGAAGAGAGAAAUUGGUGUUGACAUCGAAAUCGAAAUGGAGUUGUCUCUUUCGUUUGGUUUUGGAAGAAGAGGUGUGGCUAUGGCUACAAAGCUUCUUCCUCUGCUGCUGCUGCUCCUCCAUUGACGCGCUCUGUGAUUGAAUGAAUUGCGAGUUCCUUCGCCAUGG
RNAcentral lists this unclassified non-coding RNA (264 nucleotides) under Hevea brasiliensis (rubber tree). The record is from RNAcentral. Lineage: Eukaryota; Viridiplantae; Streptophyta; Magnoliopsida; Malpighiales; Euphorbiaceae.